GCUGGUUCUCUAGGGAGCAUGUGCACACCUUGUCAUCUUUAUAUCUCCACCUGUGCACUUUUUGUAGGCCUUUUUAGGUCUAUGUUGCUUCACUUGCCCCAAUGUAUGUCUAUAGAAUGUUGUGCCUAUAUAAUAUAUACAACUUUCAGCAACGGAUCUCUUGGCUCUCGCAUCGAUGAAGAACGCAGCGAAAUGCGAUAAGUAAUGUGAAUUGCAGAAUUCAGUGAAUCAUCGAAUCUUUGAACGCACCUUGCGCUCCUUGGUAUUCCGAGGAGCAUGCCUGUUUGAGUGUCAUUAAUAUAUAUAUAUCAAACUUCUCUUGUUGAGUUGUUUGGAUGUGGGGGUUUGCUGGCCUCUUAAAGGGGUUCAGCUCUCCUGAAAUGCAUUAGCGGAACAGCCUUGUUCAUUGGUGUGAUAACUAUCUACGCUGUUGAAUGUGAAAGGGCAGUUCAGCUUUCUAACAGUCCUUGGACAGAUCCAUCAUUAAUGUGACCUCAAAUCAGGUAGGACUACCCGCUGAACUUAAGCAUAUCAAUAAGCGGAGGAAAAGAAACUAACAAGGAUUCCCCUAGUAACUGCGAGUGAAGCGGGAAAAGCUCAAAUUUAAAAUCUGGCGGUCUUUUGGCUGUCCGAGUUG
This 637-nucleotide ribosomal RNA is filed under the name uncultured fungus. RNAcentral describes it as "eukaryotic LSU rRNA". The stretch from base 141 to 294 matches the Rfam family "5.8S ribosomal RNA". Lineage: Eukaryota; Fungi. The record is from RNAcentral.